AUGCACGCUGGCGGCGUGCCUAAUACAUGCAAGUCGAGCGAACGGACGAGAAGCUUGCUUCUCUGAUGUUAGCGGCGGACGGGUGAGUAACACGUGGAUAACCUACCUAUAAGACUGGGAUAACUUCGGGAAACCGGAGCUAAUACCGGAUAAUAUUUUGAACCGCAUGGUUCAAAAGUGAAAGACGGUCUUGCUGUCACUUAUAGAUGGAUCCGCGCUGCAUUAGCUAGUUGGUAAGGUAACGGCUUACCAAGGCAACGAUGCAUAGCCGACCUGAGAGGGUGAUCGGCCACACUGGAACUGAGACACGGUCCAGACUCCUACGGGAGGCAGCAGUUGGGAAUCUUCCGCAAUGGGCGAAAGCCUGACGGAGCAACGCCGCGUGAGUGAUGAAGGUCUUCGGAUCGUAAAACUCUGUUAUUAGGGAAGAACAUAUGUGUAAGUAACUGUGCACAUCUUGACGGUACCUAAUCAGAAAGCCACGGCUAACUACGUG
Molecule: ribosomal RNA, 496 nt
Filed under: uncultured bacterium
Lineage: Bacteria
Description: partial 16S ribosomal RNA
Rfam family: Bacterial small subunit ribosomal RNA
Source: RNAcentral